CGUGUAGGCGGCCUAAUAAGUUAGAAGUGAAACCUAUCGGCUCGACUGAUAGCCUGCUUCUAAAACUGCUAAGCUUGAGUGCAGAAGAGGGGAGUGGAAUUCCCAGUGUAGCGGUGAAAUGCGUAGAUAUUGGGAGGAACACCAGUGGCGAAAGCGGCUCCCUGGUCUGUAACUGACGCUGAGGCGCGAAAGCGUGGGUAGCAAACA
RNAcentral lists this ribosomal RNA (207 nucleotides) under uncultured Peptococcaceae bacterium. RNAcentral describes it as "partial 16S ribosomal RNA". It matches the Rfam family "Bacterial small subunit ribosomal RNA", at positions 568 to 774 of the family's 1533-position model. The record is from RNAcentral. Lineage: Bacteria; Bacillati; Bacillota; Clostridia; Eubacteriales; Peptococcaceae.